GACGAACGCUGGCGGCGUGCCUAAUACAUGCAAGUCGAACGAGAGCAACCGGUGCUUGCACUGGUCAAUCUAGUGGCGAACGGGUGGGUAACACGUGGGUAACCUGCCCAUCAGAGGGGGAUAACAUCCGGAAACGGAUGCUAAAACCGCAUAGGUCUUCGAACCGCAUGGUUUGAAGAGGAAAAGAGGCGCAAGCUUCUGCUGAUGGAUGGACCCGCGGUGCAUUAGCUUGUUGGUGAGGUAACGGCUCACCAAGGCCGUGAUGCAUAGCCGACCUGAGAGGGUGAUCGGCCACAUUGGGACUGAGACACGGCCCAAACUCCUACGGGAGGCAGCAGUAGGGAAUCUUCCGCAAUGGACGCAAGUCUGACGGAGCAACGCCGCGUGAGUGAAGAAGGUUUUCGGAUCGUAAAACUCUGUUGUUAGAGAAGAACAAGUGCUAGAGUAACUGUUAGCGCCUUGACGGUAUCUAACCAGAAAGCCACGGCUAACUACGUG
This 498-nucleotide ribosomal RNA is filed under the name uncultured bacterium. RNAcentral's name for it is "partial 16S ribosomal RNA". It matches the Rfam family "Bacterial small subunit ribosomal RNA", at positions 28 to 507 of the family's 1533-position model. The record is from RNAcentral.